GGCGGCGUGGAUAAGACAUGCAAGUCGGACGGGAUUACUUUUGGUAGCAAUACCGAGAGUGAUUCAGUGGCGAACGGGUGCGUAACACGUGGGCAAUCUGCCGAGAAGUGGGGGAUAGCUCGCCGAAAGGCGAAUUAAUACCGCAUGUGAUCAGAGGCGACAUCGCUUCGAAAUCAAAGGUGGCGCAAGCUACCGCUUUUUGAGGAGCCCGCGGCCUAUCAGCUUGUUGGUGAGGUAACGGCUCACCAAGGCGUUGACGGGUAGCUGGUCUGAGAGGACGACCAGUCACACUGGGACUGAGACACGGCCCAGACACCUACGGGUGGCAGCAGUCGAGAAUUUUUCUCAAUGGGGGAAACCCUGAAGGAGCGACGCCGCGUGGAGGAUGAAGGUCUUCGGGUUGUAAACUCCUGUCAUUUGGGAACAAGGCGUACGUAUUAACUGUACGUGCGUUGAUAGUACCAGAAGAGGAAGAGACGGCUAACUCUGUGCCAGCAGCCGCGGUAAUACAGAGGUCUCAAGCGUUGUUCGGAUUCAUUGGGCGUAAAGGGUGCGUAGGUGGCGCGGUAAGUCGGGUGUGAA
Molecule: ribosomal RNA, 582 nt
Filed under: uncultured Verrucomicrobiota bacterium
Lineage: Bacteria; Pseudomonadati; Verrucomicrobiota
Description: bacterial SSU rRNA
Rfam family: Bacterial small subunit ribosomal RNA
Source: RNAcentral